ACGUAGGGAGCAAGCGUUGUCCGGAAUUACUGGGCGUAAAGGGUGCGUAGGCGGCAAGGCAAGUCAGAUGUGAAAUCCCCGGGCUUAACUCGGGGGGUGCAUUUGAAACUGCUUUGCUUGAGUGCAGGAGAGGAAAGCGGAAUUCCUAGUGUAGCGGUGAAAUGCGUAGAUAUUAGGAGGAACACCAGUGGCGAAGGCGGCUUUCUGGACUGCAACUGACGCUGAGGCACGAAAGCGUGGGGAGCAAACAG
Molecule: ribosomal RNA, 251 nt
Filed under: uncultured prokaryote
Description: partial 16S rRNA
Rfam family: Bacterial small subunit ribosomal RNA
Source: RNAcentral